AGUGAACGCUGGCGGUAGGCCUAACACAUGCAAGUCGAACGGCAGCACAGUAAGAGCUUGCUCUUACGGGUGGCGAGUGGCGGACGGGUGAGGAAUACAUCGGAAUCUACUUUUUCGUGGGGGAUAACGUAGGGAAACUUACGCUAAUACCGCAUACGACCUACGGGUGAAAGCAGGGGAUCUUCGGACCUUGCGCGAUUGAAUGAGCCGAUGUCGGAUUAGCUAGUUGGCGGGGUAAAGGCCCACCAAGGCGACGAGCCGUAGCUGGUCUGAGAGGAUGAUCAGCCACACUGGAACUGAGCCACGGUCCAGACUCCUACGAGAGGCAGCAGUGGGGAAUAUUGGACAAUGGGCGCAAGCCUGAUCCAGCCAUCCCGCGUGGGUGAAGAAGGCCUUCGGGUUGUAAAGCCCUUUUGUUGGGUAAGAAACGCAGCAGGUUAAUACCCCGCUGUUCUGACGGUACCCAAAGAAUAAGCACCGGCUAACUUCGUG
This 492-nucleotide ribosomal RNA is filed under the name uncultured bacterium. Its description in RNAcentral is "partial 16S ribosomal RNA". It matches the Rfam family "Bacterial small subunit ribosomal RNA", at positions 29 to 507 of the family's 1533-position model. The record is from RNAcentral.